RNAcentral lists this transfer RNA (73 nucleotides) under Anaerolineae bacterium. RNAcentral describes it as "tRNA-Arg". It matches the Rfam family "tRNA". Rfam says of the family: Transfer RNA (tRNA) molecules are approximately 80 nucleotides in length. Their secondary structure includes four short double-helical elements and three loops (D, anti-codon, and T loops). The record is from RNAcentral. Lineage: Bacteria; Bacillati; Chloroflexota; Anaerolineae.
GUGCCUGUAGCUCAGCGGAUAGAGCAUCUGCCUACGGAGCAGAGGGUCGGGAGUUCGAAUCUCUCCAGGCACG